This 89-nucleotide non-coding RNA is filed under the name Variovorax sp. Sphag1AA. Lineage: Bacteria; Pseudomonadati; Pseudomonadota; Betaproteobacteria; Burkholderiales; Comamonadaceae. The record is from RNAcentral.
UUUUUUGGCGGCUCGAACGGGAGGGCUAACGCCCUGCCGGUUUUUCUCAGGAGUGGCCGGUCUGCUAACCCGUUCGAGCUGCCGCCUUC